GUGACAAUUUUCCGUAAGCAAAAAAAAAAGACUGGCAAUAGAUGUUAGUUUAGGGCCAAUCUUCCUCACAAAAAAAAAGACAAAUGAGAUAAAAUAUUAACAUUUGGGAAAUCCUGGUAAAAGGUCUACAGGAAUUCUUUGUACUAUUCUAGCCACUUUAAGUUUGAAAUAAUUUCAAAAUAAAAAGUUUUAAAAGUAUAUAUAUAUAGUAUGGUCCUAAUUUUAUAAAAUGAUUUAUUUACAUACAUAUACUUAAAAGUUAUGGAAGAAAUUACCCUACGACAUAGUUAUCUCUGGGUAACAAGCUUUUUGAUUUAUUUACUACUUCUCUACAUUCUCUAAACAAGCACAUUCUAAAUAAUGAAAAAAACAAAAAUGGUAUUUUGGAACUAAUCAUCCUUUAACUUAUCUGCCUGAAUUUUGUGUUCUGAAUUGUAGAUGUGAGAUCUCCUUUUGCCAUCACCAUUUGUAUUUAAAAACCAGAACAGAUGAUGCACAAGUUACACAAGCACACACGAAACAACUAUAGCAAAACUAAAAAUCUCCUCUAAGAAGUCCUACUCUGUGUAUUCCACGUGACUUCCAUGAGCAGCACGUGUGCGUGGGGUGAGAUGGAGAAUGCACGGAGAAGACAGCACAACCAGAGUGACGACGCCCCACAAGGAGGACAAGUUCUAAUGACGCAGAUCAGAUAUGUGGAAAGAGCAGGAGACAGCAAGGCUAAGAGAAACUGCAGAAGCCAUUUUUCAACCACUAAUCAAACACCACUCCACAUUUGUACUGCUUAAUUAAGAAAAAAAGGAGUUUUAACUCUAAAACAGCAUUUUAUAUUGGAGAAAAAACCAAUCACUUGGAUCUAAGUGCUUUUCUGCAUCAAAUUGCUUUUUUUCACCUAUUUUUCCUUACUAUAUGAGCUUAAUUCACAGAAACACAGAGAUGUUCCCCAAAGGGUAAAAGAAAGAUUUCUUCGGGCUACAGUUUAUUGAGAACGUUCAGUGUGUAUUUCCACCCAGAUACCAUAUUUAAUUUAUAUUUGCCUCAUUUAUGUCUAACAACCCUUAAGUGGGUGGGAUCAAUUACAAAGAGGGGAACUGAAGCUGAAUUAAUGUCACAAGCUCAAGGUCACCCACAUGUAACAGACACUUCACUGUUCUCUUGGUUUGUACCUAAGCCAUAAUGUUGGCAGUCUUUUAUUUAAACUUGUAUUUUAUACCUUCCAUGAAAUAAACAUUUACAAACUGUGAAAUAUCAAGAAAUGCGUAUCUGGAUAAAGAUGAGACACUUCAGAGUGAAGCACACGUGGAUUUUGUUUCUUUUAUACAAUCAUCACCCAUAAAGGUGAUGUUCUAAGCAGUGGUUCUCUCUGGGUAGCAUUUACCAAUUUUUCUCUUCUGCAUUUUUCCACAUUUUCAUAAAUGAAUAUGAUUCAUUUUUUAAGAAAAUAAAAUACCAAAAAUCUAGUGACACAUAUGAAUAUUACAUCUUUUGCAGGAACCAUCCUUUAAAUUAAUAUAAAUUAAAGGCUACCACUAAGAGCAUGUUGUGUCACCAAUGCUUCAGCAUUUUCAGGACUCUUAACUUGCAUAAAAGCCAUUAAAGCAGACCAAACUUAAGAGUAAAAGAUAAAUGUAUUACAUAAAAAAUAAGUCAACUAAAGAAUUUAAAGAACGCUUGAUAGAGACAAAUCUAAUGGAAAACAGCAAUUAUGAUGACGUAGUAAAUGUUCUCAUCUGUUCUCCAGAGCCACACCUUUACAGCUACGGCCUCCAUCUGAUCACUCCUUUGUGACUAGCCUCGGAGUAAAAUGCAAAGCUUUACCAACAGUUUUUCUGACACACAAUUUUGUGUUUUUCUAAUAACAAAAAAUAUUCCACAACUAAAUAAACAAAACAAAAACCCCAUCUACUUCCCCAUCUACUUUGAUUAUUUUAUGUGCUUUACAUGUAACUCUUCAAAGCAAAAGGGACAGCAAACUGAAAUGUGAGUCAUCAGACAAGGAUUUUUCAUUAACACUUCCCCCAACUAUUCUAGAGGAAAGGAUACAUAAUGGAUAAACAAUGAGAAACUCCGUUUAAAACCAUAAGGAAGAACUACAUGAAGUUAUUUGUACUGGCCAAAGGUGUUCAAACUUGAAACCUUAGGAAAGGGUCAAGCUGUUGCCCUUCUGGCCUAAGUGUGUGUGUUUUCCUUUCCCGGUGGUGUUGGCUCCACAGCCCCAGCAUUCCGAGCUCAUCUAGGCAGUGCGCUCACAGACAAAGGCGGAAGCUCCUGCAUGCAGGUCCACUGCCAUGGAAUCAGCACGUCUACCCAGCUGAAGGCCAGCACCCAGGCCUCAGGAACUUUCUAUUGGAAAGACUUGCAACCAAGGAGGAUCACAAAGAGUCCACUCAACAGUUCUUCUAAAUGUAUCUUGUAGCCAUCAUGUUUCUUUUGUCUUAAGAGAAGACACUAUACACUCACAGUCAGAUUUUUAGAAGAAUCUGUUUAUCAAGAAAAGCUCGGCUUAGCUGUAGCAUCUGGUUUAAAGUGAGAUUCUGGCUUUUUAUCCAAGUUUCCUACUAAGCUGCCCAGGACUUAAGGAGAUAAAAUGAACUAUGGUCACACGUGUGUAUUUCAACCACACGUUGAGGAGAAACCACAAACUUUCUGGCUUAUUAUUCUACUGCAAAUAGUGAAUAAGUACUCAAAAGAAAUUAAUAAGGAUACUCUAAAGCAGAAGUUCUCCAGGUGUGGGCCCCAGACCAGCAGCCUCACCAUCACCUGGAAACUUUUGUUAGAAAUGCAAAUUUUGGGCUUCCCUGCAGACCUACUGAGCCAGAAACGGUGGGAAGGGGACCCGACAAGUUCUCCAAGUGAUUCUAAUGCAAGAUCGAUUUUGAGAACCACCGAGCAUGAAGUUUCUGCCCAAGUAAGAAAUCUAUUCAUGGUUAAAGGAAUUACAAUUUUUUUCACAAACAACCUUAGAAGUGAUUUUAAUGUAACAUUUUAAGUGAAAUACCUCUGACAUAUACUUGGAGUUAGAACAUUAAUAUUCUGCACAUUAAAUUCUUUAAAAUUUAGAACUUCACAGUUUCUCCUCAGAACUCUUACCCAUCAUUUAUAUAUUUGUCUUAGUUGCACAUGCAGCAUGGAGAGAAAACAAAAGAAGUUAUGAGAUGAAAACUGUACAGCACUUUGGAAAAAAAUAAAGAUGGGAGAGAAAAAGAAUGUCUACAGGAAAAUGCACCAUGUUUCACUAAAUCUCAUAUGCCAUUAAUGUACACCAAUUUAUGUACUAUUAAGAAAAGAAAAACUCA
Non-coding RNA from Equus caballus (horse), 3296 nucleotides. Lineage: Eukaryota; Metazoa; Chordata; Mammalia; Perissodactyla; Equidae. The record is from RefSeq and is a predicted model, not a curated record.